GUGCUCACUUCAGCAGCACAUACACUAAAAUUGGAACGGAAGACAGAGAAGAUUAGCAUGGCCCCUGCACAAGGAUGACAAGCAAAUUCUGAAAACGCUGGAGGCACCA
Small nuclear RNA from Leptonychotes weddellii (Weddell seal), 109 nucleotides. The record is from RefSeq and is a predicted model, not a curated record. NCBI's taxonomy places the organism in Eukaryota, Metazoa, Chordata, Mammalia, Carnivora, Phocidae.